This 446-nucleotide long non-coding RNA is filed under the name Nicotiana benthamiana. RNAcentral's name for it is "long non-coding RNA (NBEN_LNC032942)". Lineage: Eukaryota; Viridiplantae; Streptophyta; Magnoliopsida; Solanales; Solanaceae. The record is from RNAcentral.
GAUUAGAGUAUCUCUUAAAGAGUUAAACAAAACAAAAAAAAUUCUGCUAUAGGAAUAAAGAUCAACUCACUGGAGCUUCAUCAUUAUUUUUAUUUGAUGAAAGUUCACGAGUGAAAUAGCUAGUACAACAGUGAAUGUGAAAUACUCAAACUGAAAACGAGAUCGCGAACAGGACCGUCAACUUCGAACAGAAUCGUCGGCACGAUCUCGACUCAAAGAAACUGAUGAGGGGCAGCGCAUAUGUGCUUUUGGGAGGCAGAUCGUGACUGGUUCCAUGACUGUUCGUGCUGUAUUUUUUAGGAGUUCAUGACUGAAUUUGGGGCUGGACUUUGGUGGUGUUUAAUGGAGGAAAAUGGGAGGAGUUGUGGUUGCCUUCAACUGAACUUUUACGAAGAGGGGGGAGUUAUUUAUCUGAUUUAGAUGGCUAAAGCAGUGAACAUUUGGAU